UACGGGGGGGGCAAGCGUUGUUCGGAAUUACUGGGCGUAAAGGGGACGUAGGCGGCCAACUAAGUCCGACGUGAAAUCCCAAGGCUUAACCUUGGAACUGCGUCGGAUACUGGAUGGCUUGAAUUCGGGAGAGGGAUGCAGAAUUCCAGGUGUAGCGGUGAAAUGCGUAGAUAUCUGGAGGAAUACCGGUGGCGAAGGCGGCAUCCUGGACCGACAUUGACGCUGAAAGCCGAAAGCUAGGGGGGCAAACGGG
RNAcentral lists this ribosomal RNA (253 nucleotides) under uncultured bacterium. RNAcentral's name for it is "partial 16S ribosomal RNA". It matches the Rfam family "Bacterial small subunit ribosomal RNA", at positions 524 to 776 of the family's 1533-position model. The record is from RNAcentral.